RNAcentral lists this ribosomal RNA (425 nucleotides) under uncultured bacterium. RNAcentral describes it as "bacterial SSU rRNA". It matches the Rfam family "Bacterial small subunit ribosomal RNA", at positions 354 to 796 of the family's 1533-position model. The record is from RNAcentral.
GUGGGGAAUAUUGGACAAUGGGCGAAAGCCUGAUCCAGCCAUGCCGCGUGAGUGAUGAAGGCCUUAGGGUUGUAAAGCUCUUUCAGUAGGGAAGAUAAUGACGGUACCUACAGAAGAAGCCCCGGCUAACUUCGUGCCAGCAGCCGCGGUAAUACGAAGGGGGCUAGCGUUGUUCGGAUUUACUGGGCGUAAAGCGCACGUAGGCGGAUCGUUAAGUCGGGGGUGAAAUCCUGGAGCUCAACUCCAGAACUGCCUUCGAUACUGGCGAUCUUGAGUCCGGAAGAGGUGAGUGGAACUCCUAGUGUAGAGGUGGAAUUCGUAGAUAUUAGGAAGAACACCAGUGGCGAAGGCGGCUCACUGGUCCGGUACUGACGCUGAGGUGCGAAAGCGUGGGGAGCAAACAGGAUUAGAAACCCGAGUAGUCC